RNAcentral lists this ribosomal RNA (253 nucleotides) under uncultured bacterium. RNAcentral describes it as "partial 16S ribosomal RNA". It matches the Rfam family "Bacterial small subunit ribosomal RNA", at positions 524 to 776 of the family's 1533-position model. RNAcentral also lists the same sequence under 1 other name. The record is from RNAcentral.
UACAGAGGUCUCAAGCGUUGUUCGGAUUCAUUGGGCGUAAAGGGUGCGUAGGUGGCGUCGUAAGUCGGGUGUGAAAUUUCGGAGCUUAACUCCGAAACUGCAUUCGAUACUGCGGUGCUUGAGGACUGGAGAGGAGACUGGAAUUUACGGUGUAGCAGUGAAAUGCGUAGAGAUCGUAAGGAAGACCAGUGGCGAAGGCGGGUCUCUGGACAGUUCCUGACACUGAGGCACGAAGGCCAGGGGAGCAAACGGG